GACGAACGCUGGCGGCGUGCCUAACACAUGCAAGUCGAGCGGAGACUGAUGAAGGAAGUUUUCGGAUGGAAUUCAUUAGUUUUAGCGGCGGACGGGUGAGUAACGCGUGAGCAACCUGGCUCUUACAGGGGGAUAACACAUCGAAAGGUGUACUAAUACCGCAUAAGACCACACUGCUGACAUGGCAGAGGGGUCAAAGGAGCAAUCCGGUAAGAGAUGGGCUCGCGUCUGAUUAGAUAGUUGGUGAGGUAACGGCCCACCAAGUCAACGAUCAGUAGCCGACCUGAGAGGGUGAUCGGCCACAUUGGAACUGAGAAACGGUCCAA
RNAcentral lists this ribosomal RNA (326 nucleotides) under uncultured bacterium. RNAcentral describes it as "bacterial SSU rRNA". It matches the Rfam family "Bacterial small subunit ribosomal RNA", at positions 28 to 334 of the family's 1533-position model. The record is from RNAcentral.